UGGGGAAUCUUGCGCAAUGGGCGAAAGCCUGACGCAGCAACGCCGCGUGGGGGAUGAAGGCCUUCGGGUUGUAAACCCCUUUCAGCAGGGACGAAACUGACGGUACCUGCAGAAGAAGCCCCGGCCAACUACGUGCCAGCAGCCGCGGUAACACGUAGGGGGCGAGCGUUGUCCGGAUUUAUUGGGCGUAAAGAGCUCGUAGGCGGUUCGGUAAGUCGGGUGUGAAACCUCCAGGCUCAACCUGGAGACGCCACCUGAUACUGCCGUGACUAGAGUCCGGUAGGGGAGCGUGGAAUUCCUGGUGUAGCGGUGAAAUGCGCAGAUAUCAGGAGGAACACCAGCGGCGAAGGCGGCGCUCUGGGCCGGAACUGACGCUGAGGAGCGAGAGCGUGGGUAGCAAAACA
Molecule: ribosomal RNA, 404 nt
Filed under: uncultured Acidimicrobiales bacterium
Lineage: Bacteria; Bacillati; Actinomycetota; Acidimicrobiia; Acidimicrobiales
Description: bacterial SSU rRNA
Rfam family: Bacterial small subunit ribosomal RNA
Source: RNAcentral